This 351-nucleotide transfer-messenger RNA is filed under the name Thermoanaerobaculia bacterium. It matches the Rfam family "transfer-messenger RNA". Rfam says of the family: Bacterial tmRNA, also known as 10Sa RNA or SsrA, is named for its dual tRNA and mRNA-like properties. Its role is to liberate the mRNA from a stalled ribosome. Lineage: Bacteria; Pseudomonadati; Acidobacteriota; Thermoanaerobaculia. The record is from RNAcentral.
GGGGGCGCACUGGCUUCGACGGGUAGCAAGCAAGGCCGGAGUGGCGUGCCGGAUCCAUCCGCAAAUGGAAACAACACAACUGCCAACGAUAACCUGGCAUACGCGGCGGCCUAACCACCCCGCGCGUUUCGUAGACGGACUCUGAUUCGCAGGCCCCUACGAAGCGACGAUUAAGCGAAUCGAACGGUACGGCGGGGCUUCGAGCCGUACCCGGAUCACACCGAAGCUAGCUACGACGCCGGGCAGCGGUCUGACCAAGCAGCGUAGCGAAUCCUAGACAGGCCGCUACGCACGUAGAAGCUUCGGUAUUGAGCUACUCGGACGUGGGUUCAAUUCCCACCGCCUCCACCA